Arvicanthis niloticus (Nile rat) is the source of this 125-nucleotide small nucleolar RNA. RefSeq annotates it as small nucleolar RNA SNORA11. The record is from RefSeq and is a predicted model, not a curated record. Lineage: Eukaryota; Metazoa; Chordata; Mammalia; Rodentia; Muridae.
GGGGUGUGCUCAGAGCAGGGGGCCUGAAGAAUGGCUUCUCUGUUUACAACACACCCAAGAAGAAUCUGGGGCCAUUGUAAUGAGGGGCAUAAGCAGUUUCCUCUCUGAUUGGAUCCCCUACAUGU